RNAcentral lists this ribosomal RNA (254 nucleotides) under Diacronema lutheri. RNAcentral describes it as "partial Bacterial large subunit ribosomal RNA". It matches the Rfam family "Bacterial large subunit ribosomal RNA", at positions 1744 to 1977 of the family's 2925-position model. The record is from RNAcentral. Lineage: Eukaryota; Haptophyta; Pavlovophyceae; Pavlovales; Pavlovaceae.
AGGGGGGCCGAGGUGCGUGAAGCCCCUCGCGGGCUGGCGCGUUUCGGCCGCAGAGACCAGGGAGAAGCGACUGUUUACUAAAAACACAGGUCCAUGCUAAGUCGCAAGACGAUGUAUAUGGACUGACGCCUGCCCGGUGCUGGAAGGUUAAGAGGACCGGUCAGUCACGCAAGUGGCGAAGCUGAGAAUUUAAGCCCCAGUAAACGGCGGUGGUAACUAUAACCAUCCUAAGGUAGCGAAAUUCCUUGUCGGGU